CCUUACCAUAUUAGCUCAACAAGUGAGAACACACUGGUGCCGUUUCUGUCAAAGCACAACAAGUCACCUACUGCGGCUAUAAACCCCCAAUACCUGUAAAUUGUUCAUUCUGUAUUGCAAUACAAUAAUUUUCUCUCCCAUAUUUUCUCUCUGUUUCUUCAAAUAAAGACCAUAAAAAUCAUGGAAUACAAUGAAAUUGCCCACUUCAGCCACCCACAACACACACUAAAAUUUGAGCACACGGAAUUUCCAUUCAAGUGUGAUGGGUGCAAGGAGAUAGGCAUAGGCUCACGCUACAGAUGUGCCAUAUGUGACUUCGACCUCCACACACACUGUGCACUCCCUUCCCCUGCUAUCUCUCAUCCUUUCUACCCAAAAUGUUCCUUCCAGUUCCUUCCACGCCCGCCCGGCAACACUCCACGCCUUUGCAACGCAUGCGAAAAGGAUGUCACGGGGUUCGUGUACCAUUGCAACUCGUGCGGGUUUGAUCUCCAUCCAUGUUGUGCUAAGCUUCCUAUGAUGAUUAAUGACAGGGAAGUCAAGCUCUAUUUGUAUAGGAAAGUGGAUGCACCUUGUCACAAGUGUGGAAGAAAAGGAAGAAGCUGGAGUUAUAGGUCUACAUGCAAGAAAUACAAUUUGCAUGUGGCUUGUGUGAGAGAGAUGGUAAUGGAAAGUUGGUAUGAUAUAUUUGUUGGAAGAGGAAAAGGUAGGAGAUUGGAAACAAGAAUUCCUAGCCUUAAAAAUACUCUUCAAACCCACCACCAUAAGAGGAAGGGUAAGGUGGAAAAGUGUUGUGAGAUAGCUGGAUUGGUUGUGCAGUUUGUUAUAUCAGCCGUGCUCGGUGAUCCAACCCCUUUGAUUGCUGGAGUUAUAGGGUCCUUGAUGUCACGAACAUGAUCAUUGAUUAGUGGCAUGUGUGGAUGUUUCAUGUACAAAGGCUUAAGCUGUGUAAUAUGAAAAGUAGUCAUCAAAUUAGAGCAAAAUCCAACUGAGAAGAACCACAGACUUGGUGGCACAACCCAAUUCUAUCUGAAGAUAAAUUAGGACAAAUAUAAAUGGAACAAGGCGUAAACAACAUGGGUUGGCACUUGGCAGAAUUUAAUUCUGUGCGUAGGUGUGCAAAUUUGCAAUGAAAUUCUGAUCUUGUUGAAGUUCAAGCAACGCUAAUUGUCAAUUGGCUGGUAUACGUAAAUUGCAAUUUGUAGGUAGAAUUAGAUGCUAAAGCAG
Quercus lobata is the source of this 1227-nucleotide RNA transcript. RefSeq lists it as uncharacterized. The record is from RefSeq and is a predicted model, not a curated record. Lineage: Eukaryota; Viridiplantae; Streptophyta; Magnoliopsida; Fagales; Fagaceae. The transcript is spliced from 3 exons.